RNAcentral lists this ribosomal RNA (194 nucleotides) under uncultured bacterium. Its description in RNAcentral is "partial 16S ribosomal RNA". It matches the Rfam family "Bacterial small subunit ribosomal RNA", at positions 338 to 524 of the family's 1533-position model. The record is from RNAcentral.
CCUACGGGAGGCAGCAGUAGGGAAUCUUCCGCAAUGGACGCAAGUCUGACGGAGCAACGCCGCGUGAGUGAAGAAGGGUUUCGGCUCGUAAAACUCUGUUGUUAAGGAAGAAUGACACAUGGAGUAACUGCCAUGUGUGUGACGGUACUUAACCAGAAAGCCACGGCUAACUACGUGCCAGCAGCCGCGGUAAU